This 264-nucleotide ribosomal RNA is filed under the name uncultured bacterium. RNAcentral's name for it is "partial 16S ribosomal RNA". It matches the Rfam family "Bacterial small subunit ribosomal RNA", at positions 793 to 1055 of the family's 1533-position model. The record is from RNAcentral.
GUCCACGCCGUAAACGAUGUCUACUAGCCGUUGGGGCCUUUGAGGCUUUAGUGGCGCAGCUAACGCGAUAAGUAGACCGCCUGGGGAGUACGGUCGCAAGACUAAAACUCAAAUGAAUUGACGGGGGCCCGCACAAGCGGUGGAGCAUGUGGUUUAAUUCGAUGCAACGCGAAGAACCUUACCUGGCCUUGACAUAGUAGAAACUUUUCCAGAGAUGGAUUGGUGCCUUCGGGAGCUUACAUACAGGUGCUGCAUGGCUGUCGU